RNAcentral lists this ribosomal RNA (338 nucleotides) under uncultured beta proteobacterium. RNAcentral describes it as "bacterial SSU rRNA". It matches the Rfam family "Bacterial small subunit ribosomal RNA", at positions 9 to 337 of the family's 1533-position model. The record is from RNAcentral. Lineage: Bacteria; Pseudomonadati; Pseudomonadota; Betaproteobacteria.
GAGUUUGAUCCUGGCUCAGAUUGAACGCUGGCGGCAUGACCUUACACAUGACAAGUACGAACGGUUAACGCCGGGGGCAAACCCGUGGCGAACGAGUGGCGAACGGGUAGGAGUAAUAACAUCGGAACGUGUCCUGGAGUGGGGGGAUAGCUCGGCGAAAGCCGGAUUAAUACCGCAUACGCUCUGAGGAGGAAAGCGGGGGGACCUUCGGGCCUCGCGCUGCGGGAGCGGCCGAUGUCGGAUUAGCUAGUUGGUGGGGUAAAGGCCUACCAAGGCGACGAUCCGUAGCUGGUCUGAGAGGAUGAUCAGCCACACUGGGACUGAGACAGGCCCAGACU